Columba livia (rock pigeon) is the source of this 2241-nucleotide long non-coding RNA. RefSeq lists it as uncharacterized. The record is from RefSeq and is a predicted model, not a curated record. NCBI's taxonomy places the organism in Eukaryota, Metazoa, Chordata, Aves, Columbiformes, Columbidae. The transcript is spliced from 3 exons.
GUUGCAUCUGAACCUCCAUUAAUCAAUUCUGCCAUGAACUCCAGUUUUAGUCGGGUUUGCUAUAUAUUCUGUGAGAUUUUGUCCUUUCCUGCCAGCAUACCAGCCACUGGGAGAGAAUUUACUAUUAGAGUACUACAGAACUGGCUCUAUUAUAGUGUUUAUCAGUGAGGGUCAAGCUAAGUUUGGGGAUUUUACAUUUGCCAGCGGUGAGGAGUGUUGGGCCAGUCACCUUGAAACUGUCACAGAGCCUUCUAGAAGAGGCCAGUGGCAUUUUAUGUAUGUGCUGAAAAAAUGGCAAAAUGCACUGAGCCUUCACUUCAUUAGUCAGUAAAUUACAACAGAUGGUUUUAAAAUUACUUCAUCAGCAGUGAGUUUUUGUUGUCUGCAGAGAUCCAUGCCAUCACCUCGCUUCGAAGACAAAGCAGACACUGAGAGGUGUUCUUGGAGCAUCUCCAAUAUUGACACCAGGGUCUGGUGAUAGUUGUGGCUCACCCAAGAUCUGCACAUUACUGGAAACUCGGCUGGGGGACACAUCAGUUGCACACAGCGGCAGGAUCUGCUGAUGAGAGAUGCCUGGUUACUGCAGGGAAGGCAACACACAUUUAAUUCUGCUUCUUGGCAUGAAGCCAUGUCCAUACCAGCACACCAGGCUGACCAGCAAGGAGAUGUCCCAGCUUGCAAGCUGUCAUGGAAACGUGAGGAGUGUGAAGCAGAGCUGGCUGCUGGGCUGCAUCCCCAGCAUCAUCCCCACGGGUGUGAGUGGCUCUUGCUGCGGACCUGCCCUGCGAUGUUGCGGCUGCAGGUCCCGCAUCCCACCCAGCCAUGCAGAGGGGCCCCGCUCAGCUGCACCAGCCUCCCCUCAGAGCUGCUUCUGCCAGAGAGGUGACAGAUUUGUUCAUUUGCUUUAAAAAUCCCGUGGAUCCCGUGUGCCAGGCACAUGCAGGCAGAAUUUGUUCCAUAGUAAUUUCUGCUCAAAUUAAAAUCACCAAGUACACAACCUAAUGGCAAAUCCAAGGAAACCAAAACCUACAGGAAGCGCAUUUGGAGGAUGAUUCAAACCCACCUUGGUGCUGGGCUCCAACUUUGCCAUCUCACGCUGCUCAAUCAGCCAAAACGAGCCAGAAACACAAAAUGGUUCCCAGGGCUUUGCUCUUCCCAGCACUCAAUGAAACUCCAUGGAGAAGCUUUUUGCCUGUCUCACUGUCCUUUCCUGCACACCAGGGUCACGUCCUGGCCCUACUGAUAUCAGUGGCAAAAGCUCAUACCCUGGGUAUGAUUCACUCUGCUUUAUUUCUUACUAUACCUCAUCCAAUCCACUAAUUUCUUAAUCCUUUUUAUUCACCUCAACUGCAUUCUCUUCUGAGAGUCAGUAUGUUCAUUUGUGCAUUUAAACCCACGAUCUGGUUGUGCAAAUGCCUCUGUUUAUAGUGGGUCCCCAGUAAAUCCAGCCUCCAGCUGCGAACAUGGGGAACUUUGUGUGGCAGAGGGAAAUUCGGGUCCUUUCUCGCUCCCCCAGCCUCAUUUAUAUCUGCAAAUCUGUGAUCUUGCCUUGAAAGAAUCUGUAAUGACUCAUUGCCUCUAUUGGACCUACUGCCAAUAUCACAGUUAGUUAUAACCAGUUAAUUAACUGGAAAGUCUAAUUACUUAAAAUUCAGCCUUUUCCUGGGUUUUUGCUGUUGCAGGAGAAUGCCAAAUAAUAACAGUGCUUUUCAAUAUAACCUCAUUUUAUUUUUCUUGGGGAACAUACAAAAGUUAUGUGUAAAUAUUUCUUUCUCCAGUGAGCACACUUUAUUAUCCCUUUUCCUUUAGCUUUCAUUAAAAACUGCUCCCACCCCUUCUUUAACUUGAACAUAUAAAUAAAUAACGCCUGAUUCAAACAACCUCAGCCAUAAAAACCUGCUUGAAAAGAAUCUCAGGCAACUACCACAUCUGGAAUAAUAGUCAACAUAUUUUAGAAAGAGACUUCAUUUUUCUCACACAGGAUACUAAAUCAUGAUGGCUCCAUGUGCCAAAAAUAACAGUGGGAUAUGACUAUGGGAGGACGUGAACCUAUAAUGAGGUUCAAUAAAGUACUAAUCUUAUGGGGUAAUGCAAUCUGGUUUGCUUUUGCUUAAAAAAAUGCGUUCGUGUGUGUGUAUGUGUGUGCGUGCGUGCGUUCAUAGACUCUGGUGUGUUUUUUAAACAGGAUUCUGGUACCUUCUCUCAAACUCACUUUGCUGUUUUGCAAUGCAAAUAACUGUU